CCCUGAUCCAGCAAUACCGCGUGUGUGAAGAAGGCCUUCGGGUUGUAAAGCACUUUUAGCAGGAAAGAAAGCCUGUACGCUAAUACCGUAUGGUUUUGACGUUACCUGCAGAAAAAGCACCGGCUAACUCCGUGCCAGCAGCCGCGGUAAUA
Molecule: ribosomal RNA, 152 nt
Filed under: uncultured Achromobacter sp.
Lineage: Bacteria; Pseudomonadati; Pseudomonadota; Betaproteobacteria; Burkholderiales; Alcaligenaceae
Description: partial 16S ribosomal RNA
Rfam family: Bacterial small subunit ribosomal RNA
Source: RNAcentral